This is a long non-coding RNA of Acinonyx jubatus (cheetah), 1770 nucleotides long. RefSeq lists it as uncharacterized. Lineage: Eukaryota; Metazoa; Chordata; Mammalia; Carnivora; Felidae. The transcript has 4 exons. The record is from RefSeq and is a predicted model, not a curated record.
AGUUGUUAUGAAAAAAAAUACUAUGUUGAAUUUUUGUGAAAUUAAAUUUUAUUUCAAAAUUCAGUAAAUUUUGAAAUAGUUCAUUAUGAAUGUGUCAUUGUUAAGAUGAAGUGCUUCUUUAAUGUGAAGUAUCGGUUGGUUGGUAGGUGAUCUUGUGUGUUUUUCAGAGGGCUGUGGCUGGGUCGGCAGCAAGGCUCACCUGAUGUGGUAACUUCUUAUAUCAGUGACUUUGGGACCGUGUUCCUCUGAGCUUCUGGGGCUGGAAGGGGGGUGGGGGGCAGCCUGGCCAGCCUUUCCUCUGCCUCCCACCCAGCAGUUCGGCUAGUUGCUGUGAUGAAAAAGCAUUUACUCUCUUGCCUUUGUGAAUGUGCAGACUGCACUGUUUUCAGGCCUACAAAUCCCUGCUCUGAUUCAACAGUGUGUGGAACGCUGGCCCCGAGCCCUAAGCUGGCAUCUCCAGUUAAUUGCACAGUGAGUUAGCCAGAGGCAGAAAUGCUUUUCAGACACACUUAGAAACAGAAGGAAUGAGGCAAAGGAACGGAUGCUGCAGUCUCCCAGAUCACAAGGCCUGCUGGGAUUGGACUGGUCUUUGACUUAGGAACCCAUGACCCCCCAGGGGCUGAUGUCCUGACCUGGGAGGUGGUAGGCUCUUCCUCAGGUAGGCUCAGACUUUGUCUGCCAGGGGUUGCCAUCAUCUGGAAGAUUUUUCCAAAGGGAGAAGUUGGUGAAAGUGGAGAACUGCAGUGAUAAAUGUGGAAGUCUGGAAGUGAAUGUGUCAAGAGAUUGGGGCAGGAAGAAGAAAGGGUGAGAGGUGUCACCCAUCCAUCCCCGCUCUUGGGAAACUGAGUAUGCGGCUUUUGAAGUCCAUCCUUUCAACCUGUAGCUACAGCUCAAGUACAUGUAACGAAAUCUAAAGUAUGCAUGUACAUACCUAGGCACACUCUUGGGAGGUGGAGGGGACAGGCGUUGGAUGGACCAAGAUACGUGAGACAACAGGACUGGCUGAUUUCAGGAAAUCAAGUUGGGGUCAGGUAAAGGAUAUCUUAGCUGGGAAUAGGAUUCUUGGAUCUCAGCCAUGUAGAUGCCAUAGUCUGCCAGCUCCUGUUACAGGGUUUAAUUCUGUAAUGCAUCCCUGGAUGAGAAAGGCAGAGCCAGGCACGCUCAACACAGGGGUGAUGUUGACCUUCUCUGACGGGUGGAGAGGGGGGGAUCCCACAGAGCUCCUGUGACCAAACUCUUUCAAAGAGGAAGCACAGUGCAGUGGCUGAGUGUUGGGCUGCAGAGCCACAUUGUCUGGGUUGGGACAUGGGCAAAUUAGUGAACUUUGUUGUGUCCUAGCAUACUGUAAGCACUCAGUAAAUGUGCUUCCACUUAUGGACAUAACUACUGCUCCUACUUUUCCCUCCUUACAGGCUCACAUCUAGCACGUGCUUUGACACUGUUUUCCAGCCUGCCCAGCCCAAGGUGAAGAAAGUCCUGGAUCAGGAGAGGUGGGGUCUGGAAGCCACAUUCUGGUUGUCCUGACAUCAGAAUCUUAUCCAUCAUCAGUAUUAUCUUUUAAAGUUUCUAAAGAAGAGGUAAGAAAGAAUUCCAAUCUGAUGAAAGGUAUCAAUCCACACAGUCAAGAACCACUAGAACUCCCAAAUCAGAAUAAAUACAAAGAAUACCGUACGUGGGCACAUCACAGUGAAACUGCUAAAGACCAAAGAGAAAAUCUGAAAAGCAGUCAAAACAAAUGAUACACGACCUUCAGAAGGGUGACAAUAAGAC